This 233-nucleotide ribosomal RNA is filed under the name uncultured bacterium. Its description in RNAcentral is "partial 16S ribosomal RNA". It matches the Rfam family "Bacterial small subunit ribosomal RNA", at positions 1268 to 1500 of the family's 1533-position model. The record is from RNAcentral.
CAAAUCACAAAACAACAGUCUCAGUUCAGAUUGUAGGCUGAAACUCGCCUAUAUGAAGUCGGAAUUGCUAGUAAUCGCGGAUCAGCAUGCCGCGGUGAAUACGUUCCCGGGCCUUGUACACACCGCCCGUCACACCAUGAGAGUCGAUAACACCCGAAGCCUGUAGUCUAACCUUAGGGGGGACGCAGUCGAAGGUGGGAUUGAUAAUUAGGGUGAAGUCGUAACAAGGUAGC